Molecule: RNA transcript, 2780 nt
Organism: Brassica napus (rape)
Lineage: Eukaryota; Viridiplantae; Streptophyta; Magnoliopsida; Brassicales; Brassicaceae
Gene name: probable NAD(P)H dehydrogenase (quinone) FQR1-like 2
Exons: 6
Source: RefSeq, a predicted model, not a curated record
GCUCCUAAACUAAAGGAGGUUUCAAACAAAAUGGAAAAAUAAAUAAAUGAAAAAAGCCAAAAAAAGAAAGAACCGCCUCUUAAAUGGACCUUUCUGGGACUGGUAGGAGACCCUAACAUGGUAGUUUUCUAUACGACCUCCCCAUAAUGUUUCUCUCUCUCUCCUUUGCCUUGCGAAAUCAAUUUACCUCCGUUCUGGAAUCUCAUCAGAAGAGAAGAAGGCUUGAAGAGAAUAGCAAUGAUCAAUCUGACUCCUCUCUCGUUCUCAUCAAUCCGCCUCCUCUCUCGAAUCUCUUUCUUUGACUCGAUGGGGCAGCUGUGGAAGGAGCAGACGGUCGCCGGGAAGCCUGCUGGGUUCUUCGUGAGUACGGGGACUCAGGGAGGUGGACAAGAGACCACUGCAUGGACAGCAAUCACACAGCUGGUGCAUCACGGGAUGCUAAUCGUCCCCAUAGGCUACACAUUUGGAGCAGGAAUGUUCAAAAUGGACUCGAUCCAUGGAGGCUCACCUUAUGGAGCCGGUGUGUUCGCUGGUGAUGGCUCAAUAGAAGCUACGGAGACAGAGUUGGCUCUUGCUGAACCUCAAUGAAAACCUCAAUGAGAAUGAUUCAGCAAAAGAGAGUGCAGUCCUUGCUUUGCUCCACUCGAUCGACACCAAGUCAAAGCUCGCUGUAGCAAAGGUUGCUUUACUCUUCUGGUCUGUCCAACAUCGUUCUGAACAUUGGAAGGUGCUCUCCAAUACUUAACUUCCACCUGUCCAGACAUCUCAUAUUCAGCUCCCUGAUCUAUGAGAAAGCAGAUUUCAAUACAGCAAAACCCUACCACUACAGUUUGCUGACAUCUUCAUGAAUUACGCUCUAGCCUGAGUGUGCAUCAACCUCCCACUCUCCCACUACAAAAGGGUGUUAGAUUGUAUGCAUAUACGACAAUCUCUAAGACGUUGUAUUGUAUAUAUUGUUUGUUGUGUUUUUUUUUUUUGUUCAGUGGUUGUAUAUUAGGGCUCUGGUUGUAUAGUUAGGAUACAAUUUGUUUAUAUGUACUAUUUAGUCCUAUAAAUAAUACAAACGGCUCAUGGAGUUUUCAUAAGUCUAUAUGUUGUAUGGGUGGUUUUGUUGUUUUUGUAUAAAUUAAUGAAACAGGGUAUGCAUAUAGUAUAUACAACUACUUUUUCGCUUUGACUUAAACAAUUUAGUUCAUGUAAAAAACAAUUUAGUUCAGAUUCGGCUUGAUUUAUAUGCCAGCUCCCAAGACUACAAAUCUUUGCCUUCUAUUGGAUUUGUUGUUAGCUUUAUAUUAUACAUUUUAAUCGUCACAUGCUAGAGCAUAAUUCAUGGGAAUGCCAGCAAACUGUGAAAAGAAGAGUCAAGAGUUGUAUAUAUAUAUUAUACUAUUGGAUUGGAUUUGCUGUUAGCUUUAUAGCAUACAUUUUAAUCGUGUUAUAUACGCCUAACUAGUCGGUUCUAAGCUUUAUAACACUACAAAAAAUAUGAGUAUUAGUAGCAGUUCGCGGUAGCACGAAUUCACGAACUGCCACCGAAAGUCCCAAAAUCUUAGCACUACUCUAUUAUAGCACUAAAUUUGCGUUAAGAUAAAAUUUCAUUAAGCGGGAAAGCAAAAAUCAUUAUAGGUGAAAAAAUAUUUUGGAGCCAACACUUGGUGAAUUUUGGGUUUCCUUUACAUUUUUGUGUUAAAAAAAAAUAGGUUUCUUAUCUCUUUGAUAAAAAAAAAAAAAACUUUCUUAUCUCUAGUCGUCUCUGUCCCUCUCGAGUCUCAUCUCUGCGUUUCCCCCUUUACUCCAUCUCGAGCUCCACCACUCUGUGGUCUCCACUCACCCACAAUCGAACAAGGUGGCGCCUCUUGUCCACUCUCGAGCCUCACCGCCGUGCUCUGCUCAUCAAUCCACCGUGCUCUGCUUCACACCGCAACAGUCUGGCCGUCGUCGCCACGUCAGAGCUCUCAUCCAUCGCAAUCCAUCACUGUGUCUGUGACCAAACGACACCACGAUAGCACCUGCUCCAAAUCAAGCUUCUCUGGCGCGUUCUUGCUUCAACGGAAUCAUGCCUCACCGUCGGAAUCAAAGUGGAGAAGAGAAACAACGGCGUUUCGACAAAAGGUGCUGCUACCAAGUAGUGGGCAUUGGAAGAUGGUACUAACUCUGUCGCUAUGGCUAAGAGAAGAAGUAGUGAGAGCCAACUUUGAGUUUUUGAAGAAACUUGGAGUUGAUUGGUGGUGUUUCUACACGUGAGGUGCAGGUGGAGUUCUUCUUGUUUACGACAUCAGCAGACAGCAGACUUUUCAGAGCAUUGGUAGAUGGCUGAACGAGCUGCACACACACUCGGACAUGAACGUUGUGACGUUCUUCGUUCAUUCGUUACGAAUUGGAGUUGAUUGGUGGUGUUGUGUUUUACUUGUCUCUUGACAGGUGGUGUUGCGGAAACGCCUUGCCCAUAUCAAAAGAGAAGUUGAUAAAAAGAUGGUGGAGAAGAGAAGUUGGUUUCUUGUGUUCUUCUGUGUCAAGCUUUGAUCUGAGUUAAGUGAGAUUCGGUUUGGAUUAGAUGGUGAAGGAAACAGAGUAAUAUGAUGUGCUCGGCGUUAGCCCAAGUGCUACUGAGUCUGAGAUCAAGACUCAGUUUGUUUAUGACUAGAUUUGAUGGUUAUAUGUUCUUUUAUGGAGUUCGUGUGUUUCAUGUAUUGAUUUUGUAUGUUUUGAUUCUUUGAUGGAAAAACAUGUGGUAUUAUAUGAUUUAUUUGUGUUUUAUUAGAGUAAAUUAUAUUUAUUAA